UACAGAGGGGGCAAGCGUUGUUCGGAAUUACUGGGCGUAAAGGGCGCGUAGGCGGCCCGUUAAGUCGAACGUGAAAUCCCUGGGCUCAACCCAGGAACUGCGUCCGAUACUGGAAGGCUUGAAUCCGGGAGAGGGAUGCGGAAUUCCAGGUGUAGCGGUGAAAUGCGUAGAUAUCUGGAGGAACACCGGUGGCGAAGGCGGCAUCCUGGACCGGCAUUGACGCUGAGGCGCGAAAGCCAGGGGAGCAAACGGG
This 253-nucleotide ribosomal RNA is filed under the name uncultured bacterium. Its description in RNAcentral is "partial 16S ribosomal RNA". It matches the Rfam family "Bacterial small subunit ribosomal RNA", at positions 524 to 776 of the family's 1533-position model. The record is from RNAcentral.